This 293-nucleotide ribosomal RNA is filed under the name uncultured bacterium. RNAcentral's name for it is "partial 16S ribosomal RNA". It matches the Rfam family "Archaeal small subunit ribosomal RNA", at positions 455 to 747 of the family's 1478-position model. The record is from RNAcentral.
GUGCCAGCAGCCGCGGUAAUACCGGCAGCCCGAGUGAUGGCCGAUCUUAUUGGGCCUAAAGCGUCCGUAGCUGGCUGCGCAAGUCCGUCGGGAAAUCCACUCGCCCGACGAGUGGGCGUCCGACGGAAACUGCACAGCUUGGGACCGGAAGGCUCGAAGGGUACGUUCGGGGUAGGAGUGAAAUCCCAUAAUCCCGCACGGACCACCGAUGGCGAAAGCACUUCGAGAAAACGGAUCCGACGGUCAGGGACGAAAGCUUGGGUCUCGAACCGGAUUAGAUACCCUUGUAGUCC